AACGAACGCUGGCGGCAGGCCUAACACAUGCAAGUCGAGCGAGCAUUUCGGUGCUAGCGGCGGACGGGUGAGUAACGCGUGGGAACGUGCCCUUUUCUGCGGAAUAGUCCUGGGAAACUGGGGGUAAUACCGCAUACGCCCUUUUGGGGAAAGAUUUAUCGGAGAAGGAUCGGCCCGCGUUGGAUUAGGUAGUUGGUUGAGGUAAUGGCUCACCAAGGCGACGAUCAGUAGCUGGUCUGAGAGGAUGAUCAGCCACAUUGGGACUGAGACACGGCCCAAACUCCUACGGGAGGCAGCAGUGGGGAAUCUUGCGCAAUGGGCGAAAGCCUGACGCAGCCAUGCCGCGUGAAUGAUGAAGGUCUUAGGAUUGUAAAAUUCUUUCACCGGGGACGAUAAUGACGGUACCCGGAGAAGAAGCCCCGGCUAACUUCGUG
This 434-nucleotide ribosomal RNA is filed under the name uncultured bacterium. RNAcentral's name for it is "partial 16S ribosomal RNA". It matches the Rfam family "Bacterial small subunit ribosomal RNA", at positions 29 to 507 of the family's 1533-position model. The record is from RNAcentral.